GGGUUGUGAGGUUAAGCGACUAAGCGUACACGGUGGAUGCCCUGGCAGUCAGAGGCGAUGAAGGACGUGCUAAUCUGCGAUAAGCGUCGGUAAGGUGAUAUGAACCGUUAUAACCGGCGAUUUCCGAAUGGGGAAACCCAGUGUGUUUCGACACACUAUCAUUAACUGAAUCCAUAGGUUAAUGAGGCGAACCGGGGGAACUGAAACAUCUAAGUACCCCGAGGAAAAGAAAUCAACCGAGAUUCCCCAGUAGCGGCGAGCGAACGGGGAGGAGCCCAGAGCCUGAAUCAGUGUGUGUGUUAGUGGAAGCGUCUGGAAAGGCGCGCGAUACAGGGUGACAGCCCCGUACACAAAAAUGCACAUGCUGUGAGCUCGAUGAGUAGGGCGGGACACGUGGUAUCCUGUCUGAAUAUGGGGGACCAUCCUCCAAGGCUAAAUACUCCUGACUGACCGAUAGUGAACCAGUACCGUGAGGGAAAGGCGAAAAGAACCCCGGCGAGGGGAGUGAAAAAGAACCUGAAACCGUGUACGUACAAGCAGUGGGAGCCUCUUAAUGGGGUGACUGCGUACCUUUUGUAUAAUGGGUCAGCGACUUAUAUUCUGUAGCAAGGUUAACCGAAUAGGGGAGCCGAAGGGAAACCGAGUCUUAACUGGGCGUUAAGUUGCAGGGUAUAGACCCGAAACCCGGUGAUCUAGCCAUGGGCAGGUUGAAGGUUGGGUAACACUAACUGGAGGACCGAACCGACUAAUGUUGAAAAAUUAGCGGAUGACUUGUGGCUGGGGGUGAAAGGCCAAUCAAACCGGGAGAUAGCUGGUUCUCCCCGAAAGCUAUUUAGGUAGCGCCUCGUGAAUUCAUCUCCGGGGGUAGAGCACUGUUUCGGCAAGGGGGUCAUCCCGACUUACCAACCCGAUGCAAACUGCGAAUACCGGAGAAUGUUAUCACGGGAGACACACGGCGGGUGCUAACGUCCGUCGUGAAGAGGGAAACAACCCAGACCGCCAGCUAAGGUCCCAAAGUCAUGGUUAAGUGGGAAACGAUGUGGGAAGGCCCAGACAGCCAGGAUGUUGGCUUAGAAGCAGCCAUCAUUUAAAGAAAGCGUAAUAGCUCACUGGUCGAGUCGGCCUGCGCGGAAGAUGUAACGGGGCUAAACCAUGCACCGAAGCUGCGGCAGCGACGUUUAUGCGUUGUUGGGUAGGGGAGCGUUCUGUAAGCCUGCGAAGGUGUACUGUGAGGUAUGCUGGAGGUAUCAGAAGUGCGAAUGCUGACAUAAGUAACGAUAAAGCGGGUGAAAAGCCCGCUCGCCGGAAGACCAAGGGUUCCUGUCCAACGUUAAUCGGGCAGGGUGAGUCGACCCCUAAGGCGAGGCCGAAAGGCGUAGUCGAUGGGAAACAGGUUAAUAUUCCUGUACUUGGUGUUACUGCGAAGGGGGACGGAGAAGGCUAUGUUGGCCGGGCGACGGUUGUCCCGGUUUAAGCGUGUAGGCUGGUUUUCCAGGCAAAUCCGGAAAAUCAAGGCUGAGGCGUGAUGACGAGGCACUACGGUGCUGAAGCAACAAAUGCCCUGCUUCCAGGAAAAGCCUCUAAGCAUCAGGUAACAUCAAAUCGUACCCCAAACCGACACAGGUGGUCAGGUAGAGAAUACCAAGGCGCUUGAGAGAACUCGGGUGAAGGAACUAGGCAAAAUGGUGCCGUAACUUCGGGAGAAGGCACGCUGAUAUGUAGGUGAAGUCCCUUGCGGAUGGAGCUGAAAUCAGUCGAAGAUACCAGCUGGCUGCAACUGUUUAUUAAAAACACAGCACUGUGCAAACACGAAAGUGGACGUAUACGGUGUGACGCCUGCCCGGUGCCGGAAGGUUAAUUGAUGGGGUUAGCGGUAACGCGAAGCUCUUGAUCGAAGCCCCGGUAAACGGCGGCCGUAACUAUAACGGUCCUAAGGUAGCGAAAUUCCUUGUCGGGUAAGUUCCGACCUGCACGAAUGGCGUAAUGAUGGCCAGGCUGUCUCCACCCGAGACUCAGUGAAAUUGAACUCGCUGUGAAGAUGCAGUGUACCCGCGGCAAGACGGAAAGACCCCGUGAACCUUUACUAUAGCUUGACACUGAACAUUGAGCCUUGAUGUGUAGGAUAGGUGGGAGGCUUUGAAGUGUGGACGCCAGUCUGCAUGGAGCCGGCCUUGAAAUACCACCCUUUAAUGUUUGAUGUUCUAACGUUGGCCCCUUACCGGGGUUGCGGACAGUGUCUGGUGGGUAGUUUGACUGGGGCGGUCUCCUCCUAAAGAGUAACGGAGGAGCACGAAGGUUGGCUAAUCCUGGUCGGACAUCAGGAGGUUAGUGCAAUGGCAUAAGCCAGCUUGACUGCGAGCGUGACGGCGCGAGCAGGUGCGAAAGCAGGUCAUAGUGAUCCGGUGGUUCUGAAUGGAAGGGCCAUCGCUCAACGGAUAAAAGGUACUCCGGGGAUAACAGGCUGAUACCGCCCAAGAGUUCAUAUCGACGGCGGUGUUUGGCACCUCGAUGUCGGCUCAUCACAUCCUGGGGCUGAAGUAGGUCCCAAGGGUAUGGCUGUUCGCCAUUUAAAGUGGUACGCGAGCUGGGUUUAGAACGUCGUGAGACAGUUCGGUCCCUAUCUGCCGUGGGCGCUGGAGAACUGAGGGGGGCUGCUCCUAGUACGAGAGGACCGGAGUGGACGCAUCACUGGUGUUCGGGUUGUCAUGCCAAUGGCACUGCCCGGUAGCUAAAUGCGGAAGAGAUAAGUGCUGAAAGCAUCUAAGCACGAAACUUGCCCCGAGAUGAGUUCUCCCUGACCCUUUAAGGGUCCUGAAGGAACGUUGAAGACGACGACGUUGAUAGGCCGGGUGUGUAAGCGCAGCGAUGCGUUGAGCUAACCGGUACUAAUGAACCGUGAGGCUUAACCUUACAACGCCGAAGGUGUUU
This 2928-nucleotide ribosomal RNA is filed under the name Escherichia coli. RNAcentral describes it as "bacterial LSU rRNA". It matches the Rfam family "Bacterial large subunit ribosomal RNA". Lineage: Bacteria; Pseudomonadati; Pseudomonadota; Gammaproteobacteria; Enterobacterales; Enterobacteriaceae. The record is from RNAcentral.